GGCGGAGGCAGGAGCCGCCUCGGUGCUCGGUCCGCGCCGCUCCGCUCCCUGGUGUGUUGAUUCUUCCCCCAGCUGCUGCCUAAUGGAGUCCGGGCGCUGGCGUCACAGGAAAUGCCUAUACUGCCCUCCUCGCUCACUUCCGGCAGCAGGGUGGAAGGAAACACUUGAACUUCCACAGCCAAGCACUACACACAGUUGUAUCCGUGUCACCAAAGGACAGCAGAGGAGACCGUGCUCCACGCUGAGAAGGCGAAGUCGUCUGUCACUGCCUGUCUGGUGGGGCAAGAAGUUACAAAGGCUGAGGGUGUGGAGAGGAACGGACGCACUUUGUGUGGAGUUUUACCGUUUCUGUGUUGUUUUUCCUUUAAGUGUUCGAUCAGAUAGAUGCCUUGGUCCUGGUUCCUGCUACCUCUCAGACAGGGAGGAUUGAGGCAUCGAUGCAGAUCCUGGCUUGCCAUUUUCAUGGAGAAAUACAGCAGCAGAGAACUGAGAUGAGUGUUGCUCAGUGGCCGUUGGUCCUCAGGACUCCCUCGUCAGUUACAGGUGUAUGGGUAGUAGCUCGUAGACCUGGUAUGUACAGAUGUUUUCUUGGAAGUUUAGGAAAUCCUUGGUGAUUUCUCCUUUGGGAGGAAAAAAAAAAACAGCCUCAAGCAAUACAUCGUAUCCCUAAAAUUUACAAUACUCACAGUUUAGUAAUUUUGAGGUGUUUGGAGGCAGCCCUUUUCAAUUUAGACGUGCAAUAAAAAUUAUCCUAUGAUUUAUCAAGAA
Molecule: long non-coding RNA, 768 nt
Organism: Mesocricetus auratus (golden hamster)
Lineage: Eukaryota; Metazoa; Chordata; Mammalia; Rodentia; Cricetidae
Exons: 2
Source: RefSeq, a predicted model, not a curated record